RNAcentral lists this ribosomal RNA (538 nucleotides) under Clonostachys rosea. RNAcentral's name for it is "eukaryotic LSU rRNA". The stretch from base 156 to 309 matches the Rfam family "5.8S ribosomal RNA". The record is from RNAcentral. Lineage: Eukaryota; Fungi; Ascomycota; Sordariomycetes; Hypocreales; Bionectriaceae.
UGGCCUAGCGUCGCUCCAACCCAUGUGACAUACCUACUGUUGCUUCGGCGGGAUUGCCCCGGGCGCCUCGUGUGCCCCGGAUCAGGCGCCCGCCUAGGAAACUUAAUUCUUGUUUUAUUUUGGAAUCUUCUGAGUAGUUUUUACAAAUAAAUAAAAACUUUCAACAACGGAUCUCUUGGUUCUGGCAUCGAUGAAGAACGCAGCGAAAUGCGAUAAGUAAUGUGAAUUGCAGAAUUCAGUGAAUCAUCGAAUCUUUGAACGCACAUUGCGCCCGCCAGUAUUCUGGCGGGCAUGCCUGUCUGAGCGUCAUUUCAACCCUCAUGCCCCUAGGGCGUGGUGUUGGGGAUCGGCCAAAGCCCGCGAGGGACGGCCGGCCCCUAAAUCUAGUGGCGGACCCGUCGUGGCCUCCUCUGCGAAGUAGUGAUAUUCCGCAUCGGAGAGCGACGAGCCCCUGCCGUUAAACCCCCAACUUUCCAAGGUUGACCUCAGAUCAGGUAGGAAUACCCGCUGAACUUAAGCAUAUCAAAAGCCGGAGGAA